CUACGGAACUCCUACGGGAGGCAGCAGUGGGGAAUUUUGCGCAAUGGGCGGAAGCCUGACGCAGCAACGCCGCGUGGGGGAUGACGGCCUUCGGGUUGUAAACCUCUUUCGCGAUCGACGAAGUCCAUGUUUCUGCAUGGGUGACGGUAGGUCGAGAAGAAGCACCGGCCAACUACGUGCCAGCAGCCGCGGUAAUACGUAGGGUGCGAGCGUUGUCCGGAAUUAUUGGGCGUAAAGAGCUCGUAGGCGGUGUGUCGCGUCGGCCGUGAAAACCUGGGGCUCAACUCUGGGCGUGCGGUCGAUACGGGCAUCACUUGAGUUCGGCAGGGGAGACUGGAAUUCCUGGUGUAGCGGUGAAAUGCGCAGAUAUCAGGAGGAACACCGGUGGCGAAGGCGGGUCUCUGGGCCGAUACUGACGCUGAGGAGCGAAAGCAUGGGUAGCGAACAGGAUUAGAUACCCCGGUAGUCCUCUUCGA
Molecule: ribosomal RNA, 476 nt
Filed under: uncultured bacterium
Lineage: Bacteria
Description: bacterial SSU rRNA
Rfam family: Bacterial small subunit ribosomal RNA
Source: RNAcentral